RNAcentral lists this transfer RNA (77 nucleotides) under Toxocara canis (dog roundworm). It matches the Rfam family "tRNA". Rfam says of the family: Transfer RNA (tRNA) molecules are approximately 80 nucleotides in length. Their secondary structure includes four short double-helical elements and three loops (D, anti-codon, and T loops). Lineage: Eukaryota; Metazoa; Nematoda; Chromadorea; Rhabditida; Toxocaridae. The record is from Rfam by way of RNAcentral.
GCGGCAGUAGCUUAGUGGUAGAGCUCCCCUUCCCCUUCGCAUGAGGGGAGACCUGGGUUCGAUUCCCGGCUACUUCC